RNAcentral lists this small RNA (181 nucleotides) under Mycobacterium simiae. Its description in RNAcentral is "Actinobacteria sRNA Ms_IGR-5". It matches the Rfam family "Actinobacteria sRNA Ms_IGR-5". Lineage: Bacteria; Bacillati; Actinomycetota; Actinomycetes; Mycobacteriales; Mycobacteriaceae. The record is from RNAcentral.
ACACAGGGAAGGAGGUGGUCCGCGAAAUUGAUAGCUUCAUGGACAUGUGAGGUGGCUACGCGCUAGCUGCAUGGCUCGGAAGAGCUAGCGAUUUACGCGCGCUGGCGAAUUCCCCGUAGCCACCCGGCCCCCGAGCAUCCCGGUCUGUCCAACCAGGAGCAUUGCUCGGGGGCCGCUCCAU